RNAcentral lists this ribosomal RNA (779 nucleotides) under metagenome. Its description in RNAcentral is "bacterial SSU rRNA". It matches the Rfam family "Bacterial small subunit ribosomal RNA", at positions 18 to 809 of the family's 1533-position model. The record is from RNAcentral.
CCUGGCUCAGAGCGAACGCUAACGGCGUGCCUAACACAUGCAAGUCGAACGAGAACGGGAACUUCGGUUCCUUAGUAAAGUGGCGCACGGGUGAGUAACACGUGGGUAACCUACCCUUCGGCGGGGGAUAACAGUUCGAAAGAACUGCUAAUACCGCAUACGACCAACACUUCUGCGGGAGAGUUGGAGAAAGGCUUCGGCCACCGAUGGAUGGGCCCGCGUCGCAUCAGGUUGUUGGUGAGGUAAUGGCUCACCAAGCCUACGACGCGUAGCUGGUCUGAGAGGAUGAUCAGCCACACUGGGACUGGAACACGGCCCAGACUCCUACGGGAGGCAGCAGUGGGGAAUUUUGCGCAAUGGACGAAAGUCUGACGCAGCAACGCCGUGUGGGCGAUGAAGGCCUUCGGGUUGUAAAGCCCUGUCAAUGUGGGAAGAAAUUUGACGGUACCCAUAAAGGAAGCACUGGCUAACUCCGUGCCAGCAGCCGCGGUAAUACGGAGAGUGCUAGCGUUGCUCGGAAUCACUGGGCGUAAAGCGCGCGUAGGCGGUCCCUUAAGUCGGAUGUGAAAGUCUGCAGCUUAACUGUAGAAGUGCAUUCGAUACUGGGGGACUUGAGUGUGGCAGAGGGAUGUGGAAUUCCCGGUGUAGAGGUGAAAUUCGUAGAUACCGGGAGGAACACCAGUGGCGAAGGCGGCAUCCUGGGCCAACACUGACGCUGAGGCGCGAAAGCGUGGGGAGCAAACAGGAUUAGAUACCCUGGUAGUCCACGCCGUAAACGA